UUGUUACGAACAUUUUUGAAUGAACAUUUUGAAGCGCUCGCAUGCCUCAUAGAAACUUUCUCCCUCCAUCUAUCUAAAGAUGGCAAUCUCUCUUCUUAGCUA
Molecule: non-coding RNA, 102 nt
Organism: Gossypium raimondii (Peruvian cotton)
Lineage: Eukaryota; Viridiplantae; Streptophyta; Magnoliopsida; Malvales; Malvaceae
Source: Rfam